CACCCCACGAGUAUGUACUGCUUGGCCCUGUCUGUGGCUGACAGACUUGCUGUGUGGCCAUGGACUGCCUGCCGGCUUCCACUUUGUGCCCAUUUCUUCAUUGACAAAGCAGGGAUGAUGUUAUUUGCUCAUCGCCUAAGGAUGAGUGUGAAUCACCCACCAGUCAGCAUUUGGAAAGUCCACUCAGAUGGAAGGAUGAGUAAAUGAAGUGAGCUUUGCAACUUGCCUCCGCCCGACUAACUUGCUGCCUGCCUUUCUAGAGAUCUGCCUGUAAUUACCUGAUGUCAACAUGCAGCCGUACAAAGGUGGUCCUGAGCAGGACUGUGGAUCACAUGGAUCUUGGUGAGCUGCUGGAGACAGAAGCUGGCCUUGGAGGCUCGCAUCUGACACUCGGAAACUAAACAGACACCCCAGGACCAGGCAGUAGCUCCUUGGCUUUUCAGAAGCCUCUUUGUGUGAUUACUGGGACAUGGCACCUGAGGAAUGAAGGACUUCUCACCUAUUUGCUGUCCUUUGACCCAACUUGGGAGUGC
Long non-coding RNA from Hipposideros armiger (great roundleaf bat), 533 nucleotides. RefSeq lists it as uncharacterized. NCBI's taxonomy places the organism in Eukaryota, Metazoa, Chordata, Mammalia, Chiroptera, Hipposideridae. The record is from RefSeq and is a predicted model, not a curated record. The transcript is spliced from 3 exons.